CCUACGGGAGGCAGCAGUAGGGAAUCUUGCGCAAUGGGCGAAAGCCUGACGCAGCCAUGCCGCGUGAAUGAUGAAGGUCUUAGGAUUGUAAAAUUCUUUCACCGGGGACGAUAAUGACGGUACCCGGAGAAGAAGCCCCGGCUAACUUCGUGCCAGCAGCCGCGGUAAUACGAAGGGGGCUAGCGUUGCUCGGAAUUACUGGGCGUAAAGGGCGCGUAGGCGGAUAGUUUAGUCAGAGGUAAAAGCCCAGGGCUCAACCUUGGAACUGCCUUUGAUACCGGCUAUCUUGAGUACGGGAGAGGUGUGUGGAACUCCGAGUGUAGAGGUGAAAUUCGUAGAUAUUCGGAAGAACACCAGUGGCGAAGGCGACACACUGGCCCGUUACUGACGCUGAGGCGCGAAAGCGUGGGGAGCAAACAGGAUUAGAUACCCUGGUAGUCCACGCCGUAAACGAUGAGUGCUAGUUGUCGGCAUGCAUGCAUGUCGGUGACGCAGCUAACGCAUUAAGCACUCCGCCUGGGGAGUACGGUCGCAAGAUUAAAACUUAAAGGAAUUGACGG
This 560-nucleotide ribosomal RNA is filed under the name uncultured bacterium. RNAcentral describes it as "bacterial SSU rRNA". It matches the Rfam family "Bacterial small subunit ribosomal RNA", at positions 338 to 916 of the family's 1533-position model. The record is from RNAcentral.